GGAAGAAGGCCCUACGGGUUGUAAACUUCUUUUCUACGGGAAUAAACCUCAGGACGUGUCCUGAGCUGAAGGUACCGUAGGAAUAAGCAUCGGCUAACUCCGUGCCAGCAGCCGCGGUAAUACGGAGGAUGCAAGCGUUAUCCGGAUUUAUUGGGUUUAAAGGGUGCGUAGGUGGAAUUGUAAGUCAGAGGUGAAAGCUAGCAGCUUAACUGUUAAAUUGCCUUUGAUACUGCUAUUCUUGAGUAUAGUUGGCGUUGGCGGAAUGUGACAUGUAGCGGUGAAAUGCGUAGAUAUGUCACAGAACACCGAUCGCGAAGGCAGCUAACGAAACUAUUACUGACACUGAUGCACGAAAGCGUGGGGAGCAAACAGGAUUAGAUACCCUGGUAGUCCACGCCGUAAACGAUGAUAACUCGACGUUGGCAAUAUACUGUUCAGCGUCCAAGCAAAAGCGUUAAGUUAUCCACCUGGGGAGUACGAUCGCAAGGUUGAAACUCAAA
Molecule: ribosomal RNA, 500 nt
Filed under: uncultured bacterium
Lineage: Bacteria
Description: bacterial SSU rRNA
Rfam family: Bacterial small subunit ribosomal RNA
Source: RNAcentral